This 468-nucleotide ribosomal RNA is filed under the name uncultured bacterium. RNAcentral's name for it is "partial 16S ribosomal RNA". It matches the Rfam family "Bacterial small subunit ribosomal RNA", at positions 28 to 507 of the family's 1533-position model. The record is from RNAcentral.
GACGAACGCUGGCGGCGUGCUUAACACAUGCAAGUCGAACGGAAAGGCCCUGCUUUUGUGGGGUGCUCGAGUGGCGAACGGGUGAGUAACACGUGAGUAACCUGCCCUUGACUUUGGGAUAACUUUAGGAAACUGGGGCUAAUACCGGAAAGGAGCUCCUGCUGCAUGGUGGGGGCUGGAAAGUUUCGGCGGGUGGGGAUGUACUCGCGGCUUAUCAGCUUGUUGGUGGGGUGGUGGCUUACGAAGGCGUUGACGGGUAGCCGGCCUGAGAGGUGGACCGGCGACAUGGGGACGAAGACACGGCCCAGAAUCCUACGGGAGGCAUCAGUGGGGAAUGUUACACAGUGGGCGGAAGCCUGAUGCAGCAACGCCGGGUGCGGGAUGACGGCCUUCGGGUUGUAAACCGCUUUCGCCUGUGACGAAGCGUGAGUGACGGGAAUGGGUAAAGAAGCACCGGCUAACUACGUG